This 435-nucleotide ribosomal RNA is filed under the name uncultured bacterium. Its description in RNAcentral is "bacterial SSU rRNA". It matches the Rfam family "Bacterial small subunit ribosomal RNA", at positions 29 to 506 of the family's 1533-position model. The record is from RNAcentral.
GUGAAUGCUAGCGGCGUGGAUAAGGCAUGCAAGUCAAGGGGGCCGCAAGGCAACCGGCAGACGAGGUAGUAAGACACAGGUACGCACCGAGAAGUCGGGCAUAGCUCGCCGAAAGGCGGGGUAAUUCCCGAUAGUUCCCGCGAGGGUAAAGGAGCAAUCCGCUUUUUGAGCGGCCUGUGGGGCAUCAGCUAGUUGGUAAGGUAAUGGCUUACCAAGGCUACGACGCCUAGGGGACCUGAGAGGGUGACCCCCACCGAUGGAACUGAGACACGGUCCAUACAUCUACGGAUGGCUGCAGUCAAGAACAUUUGGCAAUGGGCGAAAGCCUGACCAUGCGACGCCGCGUGCUGGACGAAGUCCUUCGGGACGUAAACAGCUUUUAUGGGGGAAGAAGUAAUUGACAUUACCCCAUGAAUAAGGGGCUCCUAACUCUGU